CACCUCUCAGGGUUGCACCUGGAGAGUUUCCAGUACUCUACCAGUCUUGACCAUGGAAGGGAAAGUCAAGCAGAGGCAUUUCCAUUCCUAGCUUGGGCAGUGGCUAGUGAGUGGAAGACAGUCUGCUAUAAGU
This 133-nucleotide small nucleolar RNA is filed under the name Ornithorhynchus anatinus (platypus). The record is from RNAcentral. Lineage: Eukaryota; Metazoa; Chordata; Mammalia; Monotremata; Ornithorhynchidae.